Molecule: ribosomal RNA, 406 nt
Filed under: uncultured bacterium
Lineage: Bacteria
Description: partial 16S ribosomal RNA
Rfam family: Bacterial small subunit ribosomal RNA
Source: RNAcentral
AUUGAACGCUGGCGGCAGGCCUAACACAUGCAAGUCGAACGAGUGGCGGACGGGUGAGUAAUGCAUGGGAAACUGCCGGAUGGAGAGGGAUAACUAUUAGAAACGGUAGCUAAUACCGCAUCCUAUCGGCUCUGCCCCGAUGUGAUUAGCUAGUAGGUGGGGUAACGGCUCACCUAGGCGACGAUCCCUAGCGGGUCUGAGAGGAUGACCAGCCACACUGGGACUGAGACACGGUCCAGACUCCUACGGGAGGCAGCAGUGGGGAAUAUUGCACAAUGGGCGCAAGCCUGAUGCAGCCAUGCCGCGUGUAUGAAGAAGGCCUUCGGGUUGUAAAGUACUUUCAGCGGGGAGGCGUUACUCGAAGAAGAAGCACCGGCUAACUCCGUGCCAGCAGCCGCGGUAAUUC